UACAGAGGUCUCAAGCGUUGUUCGGAUUCAUUGGGCGUAGAGGGUGUGUAGGUGGCGCCGUAAGUCGGGUGUGAAAUUUCGGAGCUUAACUCCGAAACUGCAUUCGAUACUGCGGUGCUUGAGGACUGGAGAGGAGACUGGAAUUCAUGGUGUAGCAGUGAAAUGCGUAGAGAUCAUGAGGAAGACCAGUGGCGAAGGCGGGUCUCUGGACAGUUCCUGACACUGAGACACGAAGGCCAGGGGAGCAAACGGG
This 253-nucleotide ribosomal RNA is filed under the name uncultured bacterium. Its description in RNAcentral is "partial 16S ribosomal RNA". It matches the Rfam family "Bacterial small subunit ribosomal RNA", at positions 524 to 776 of the family's 1533-position model. The record is from RNAcentral.